AAAUAAACAAGAUCCAGAAAAUUUUUAUUUUAUUUUAUUUUUAUUUUAUUUAAAUAAACAAACCCAACAGCCUAGGCCAUCAACAGGGUUAAUAAUACAGUAGUUAGUAAACAAAAAAUAAUUUUUGAUGUAUGACAAGAUGACUUAUAGCUAGCACAGUGAUUUCACAUACAAAUUCCAAAAUACUGAGUGAAUGGACUAGCGAUGAAUUAGCUAUACAAUUAGAUAUACAAUUGCACAUCUUCAACGCCACUUAGUUGCUAGUUUGCCAAGUAAUACUGUCACAUAUCCAUGAGGACAAUUAAACGGAUCAAGUGAGGCUUCUAAUUGACAAAAACGAUUCACUGUACUAGAGAUGCGAUAGAUCGGCGCUGCCUGAAAUAAGUUAGAUUUAGCAACAGGUAUAUAAGCGUCAAUAAUUGGGGCUUUUACCUUAGAUUGGAAUUUGAUUUCUCAUACCUAAAACUGGUAUCUUAAAUUUAAACAGUGAUAGCAGUUGAGGACAAUCCACCAAGUUAUUGAAUAGUUUAGUUGCAAAGGAGAAUUCUGCACAUAUUCGUCUUUCAUCAAGAGUAAGAUAUUCGCAUUCAUUGCAGAGCGUCAGAUCUGCAAUUCCUCGAGCCGGAUAAUGUCCAGUUUUCUUCCAAAUUAAAAAUUUUUAAAAUCUUCUUUGAACUCUCUCAAUCUUAGUGGACUGUCCUGAAUGAGUGGGAGACCAUACCAGCGAAGCAUACUCGAGUUUCGGUCUAACAAAGAGAAGUUAAGCUACAAGAGCACUAGCUGUUGAACUCUCGUACUUCCACGACGGUGGGAGUGACGCUUUGGAUUUAUAGUAUCGCGCCAGGCGAUGGAUCC
Molecule: long non-coding RNA, 855 nt
Organism: Cotesia glomerata
Lineage: Eukaryota; Metazoa; Arthropoda; Insecta; Hymenoptera; Braconidae
Exons: 3
Source: RefSeq, a predicted model, not a curated record